This 217-nucleotide long non-coding RNA is filed under the name Zea mays. Its description in RNAcentral is "long non-coding RNA NONZMAT004295". The record is from RNAcentral. Lineage: Eukaryota; Viridiplantae; Streptophyta; Magnoliopsida; Poales; Poaceae.
CAACGUGGGGGCGUGGAGGCGGACAGACGUGCUCCAGAGGAAUAGGUCGCGAGCGGCGGGCUCCGGGAGGCGCGCGAAGACGGCGGGACGGACGCAAGGGCGAGGAGGAGGAGGUUGGAGAGCCGCAGCGGGGAGCCGGCGAGGACGCGAGAUGGCCCGAAAUGAGGAGGUGGGCGUGGCACAGGAACGCAGGGGGCGGAGCUGCACGCGCGGAGGC